CAUCGAUGUCGGCCUUGGGCAGGCUCACAUCCACAUCUGGACCUUCUCCUUUGAAGCCAGGCAUGCUGAAUUUGGGCAUUUUCACCUUGGGCAUCUUCAGGUGCCAGUCUGGGCCAUGAACAUCCACAUCUGGGGCAUCAAUGUCCACUUUGGGGCCCUUGAUGUCAACUUCAGGGGCCUUUAGAUCACCUUCCAUCUUAGGCAGAGAAACAUCCACAUCUCCUUUCACCUUAGGGCCUUUCAGAUGCAAAUCAAAGUCAGGCAUGGAGAUCUUGGGGGCUUUGAUGUUCAUCUCAGGCAUCUUGAAUUUGGGACCUUUCAACUUUCCCUCUGGGCCUUCGAUAUUCACAUCUGGAACAUCAAUGUCCACCUUGGGUCCUGAGACAUCAAGGUCAGCCUUGGGCAGGUUCACAUCCACAUCUGGGCCCUCUCCUUUGAAGCCAGGCAUGCUGAAUUUGGGCAUUUUCACUUUGGGCAUUUUUAGGUGCCAGUCUGGGCCAUGAA
This 504-nucleotide long non-coding RNA is filed under the name Homo sapiens (human). RNAcentral's name for it is "HSALNT0176038". Lineage: Eukaryota; Metazoa; Chordata; Mammalia; Primates; Hominidae. The record is from RNAcentral.